Molecule: non-coding RNA, 45 nt
Filed under: Schistosoma haematobium
Lineage: Eukaryota; Metazoa; Platyhelminthes; Trematoda; Strigeidida; Schistosomatidae
Source: RNAcentral
AUCCAGCUGACGAGUCUCAAAUAGGAUGAAACGGGCGUCCUGGAU